RNAcentral lists this ribosomal RNA (460 nucleotides) under uncultured Bacteroidota bacterium. RNAcentral's name for it is "bacterial SSU rRNA". It matches the Rfam family "Bacterial small subunit ribosomal RNA", at positions 338 to 795 of the family's 1533-position model. Lineage: Bacteria; Pseudomonadati; Bacteroidota. The record is from RNAcentral.
CCUACGGGAGGCUGCAGUGAGGAAUAUUGGUCAAUGGGCGAGAGCCUGAACCAGCCAUCCCGCGUGCAGGAUGACGGCCCUAUGGGUUGUAAACUGCUUUUCUGCGCCAAGAAACCUGUCAACGAGUUGACAGCUGACGGUAGCGCAGGAAUAAGCACCGGCUAACUCCGUGCCAGCAGCCGCGGUAAUACGGAGGGUGCAAGCGUUAUCCGGAUUCAUUGGGUUUAAAGGGUGCGCAGGUGGGAAUGUAAGUCAGUGGUGAAAUACUGCCGCUUAACGGUAGAACUGCCAUUGAUACUGCGUUUCUUGAGUAUGGUUGAGGUAGGUGGAAUGUGUUGUGUAGCGGUGAAAUGCAUAGAUAUGACACAGAACGCCGAUUGCGAAGGCAACUUACUAAGCCAUUACUGACGCUGAGGCACGAAAGCGUGGGUAGCGAACAGGAUUAGAUACCCUUGUAGUC